GACAGAGGGUGCAAACGUUGUUCGGAAUUACUGGGCGUAAAGCGCGUGUAGGCUGCUCUGCAAGUCGGAUGUGAAAGCCCUGGGCUCAACCUAGGAAGUGCACUCGAAACUGCAGAGCUUGAGUCCUGGAGAGGAAGGCGGAAUUCUCGGUGUAGAGGUGAAAUUCGUAGAUAUCGAGAGGAACACCGGUGGCGAAGGCGGCCUUCUGGACGGUGACUGACGCUGAGACGCGAAAGCGUGGGGAGCAAACAGG
RNAcentral lists this ribosomal RNA (253 nucleotides) under uncultured bacterium. Its description in RNAcentral is "partial 16S ribosomal RNA". It matches the Rfam family "Bacterial small subunit ribosomal RNA", at positions 524 to 776 of the family's 1533-position model. The record is from RNAcentral.